Phacochoerus africanus (Common warthog) is the source of this 4877-nucleotide long non-coding RNA. RefSeq lists it as uncharacterized. Lineage: Eukaryota; Metazoa; Chordata; Mammalia; Artiodactyla; Suidae. The transcript is spliced from 3 exons. The record is from RefSeq and is a predicted model, not a curated record.
CGACCUGCACCCCAGCUCACGGCAACGCCGGAUCCCUGACCCUAGUAUUUGGACUUUAACUUCAAAAAAGGAACAGGAGUUCCCUGGCAGCCUAGUAGUUGAGGAUCGGGUGUGCUCGCUGCAGUGGCGCAGGUUCCAACCCCGGCGGCAGUGCAGCCCAAGAAGAAAGGGCACAUGACUUGAUUGGGAUCGACCUCACCUACCGAGCGUGAGAGGCGAGGCGCCGAGGCCCGCCCUUCCUCCCCGCGCCUGGCACCUGCCCUGCGUUGGCAGCUGCAGAGGCAGGACCGGCCACACACGAGUCCGUUCACGGCCACGCUGUGGGGCUCCAUUCCCCGUGCAAGGGCCACCCGGGUCGUCUUUUGUGCACCUAGGGGAACCGGAGGCUCCCCUGUGGACGCCUCUCUGGGGGUCCUGGACAGUGUCCGCCUGUGGGGACGUGUCAACCAAACAGGACUAAGCACAAGCAGAGAGCACACGGCAGAGGUGACCGUGGUGACACAGAAUUACGUUUGUGGGGGGAGGGGCAGGUUCCGAGGCUGCCCCGGCGACGGCCUUCCCCAGGAUGGGCCACUUCCUCGCCGUCCACUCGGUUGCACAAAGUGAACGAGGGGCGAGGGGCGGGGAGCGGGCUGCGCCUCUGCCGGCCCGCCCCCCGCCCUGCCGGACGCACAGGGGGCUCUGCUGCUCGACGGGAAACGGCUCCGGUGACCACUCGGUGGAAGCACAGGUAGGACAGGAGCGGGGAGCAGAAGGUGGGUGUGCUAGGUGAAGGACCGAAAGAAUGUGUAAGUACGUACACACACACACACACACACACACACACACCCCAGCCAGCCCGGAGGCUGGAAACCCAGGGGAGCCAAAGUAGCAGUUCAAAUGCAAAGGCAGGACAAAGGCCUGGGGAGCCUCUCUUAGCCCCAGGAGAGGAUGCCGGCCGUCAGCUGCUUAGGUGAGGCCCACCCCGUUGAGGCCAAUGGGCUUUACGCAGUCUAUGGAUUUAAGUGGUGACCGUCACAGGGGUUUAGAUGAGAACCCCUCCAUGGGUCAGGCGGUUCAGGAGCGAAAAGCAGGAGGACAAAAAGCCAGGAGAGCACCACUCAUUCAUUCAUUCACUCCUUCUUCUCUGGGGGUCGAAUAUUCGCAAGGGUUCUGCCCAUUGUCUGCCCUGAGGUACUUGUGUACCCGGCAUACAGUAGUUGUUUAAUGAGUGCGCGGCUUCAGUUCAAAAUGACCUUGACAUUUCCUACCUGCUCCCCACACCCUGUUUUGUUUCCCUGCAGGUGACAGAGAAGCUUCCGGUGCCCUCCGUGGAGUCCGUGGCUGGGGACCAGCUGCCCCCCGUACCACUUCUGCCGUCAAAGUCAUCGGGAAAAAGCUUUCUCCCUGCUGUGCCUGCGGCCUCGAAGCUAAGACCCAGCCUCAGUUUUCACGCAGAUGAGACCACGCGCCACGCGCCGGAGGUCAGCUUCACCUUCCCCAGCGCCACCUGGCAGAGCAGCACAGGCCCCAGCAGGGCGCCCCUCCGGCCCCGGGACAUCCGAGGGUCUACAGACAGCGGAGGCCGACGUCACAGCCCACUGCCCCCUGGCCACCGCCACAAGCACCAGGGUGGCAGCGCCCAGUGGCCGAGGAGACCACAGUAAAGAUGGCAGCAAGCAGAGCGCCACUGUCACGCUGAGGGAAGGUCCGAGAAGCUGAUCUCGGUACCAGGGUCUCUCUGCCUGGAAGCUGAGUUUGAGAGCCGGGGGCUCCAGCAGGGACGCUCCGGGGCAGCCCGCCCUUUGCCCAGCUUCCUGCAGCCCUUUGCACCAGGCCUGGUGUCUGCCUCACCAGCCACCUUCAGAAGAAGAAUGUCCACUGGGCAGUGGCAGAGCCCUUCCCAAGGACCUCAGGCCCAUUUGGGGUCAUUCCCAGGCGUGGGUGCUCUUUCCAGGACCACCCACCCCCCGCCGUGGCCUCUGCUCUGAGAGAAGCUGGGACACAUCGCCCUUCAGGUCCGGCUCAGGCUGAGGAAGCCACUGGGGACACCUGGGCGGCUGCUGGCAAGAGGCAGGGAGGAAUUUGUCCCCAACGCCACGUGUUAGUAGAGGUUCUCCAGAAAAAGGGAACCAAAGUUGUGUGUGUGUGUGUGUGUGUGUGUGUGUGUGCUCGCACACACUACCCAAAACAGGGAGGAAAGAGAUUUCCUUGAAGAGAUGGGCAUAUUGGCUGUGGGAGCGGGCAAGUCUGAGACCUGCAGGGCUGGCUGGAGGCCCGGGGGGAGUUGCCGCUGUGUCCCCCGGUCGGGAGCAGAGGGCCCCCCUCCUCAGGUGACCUCAGUCUUUCUUCUCUGUCCGCCUUCACCUGACUGGCUGAGGCCCACCCACAUCACAGAGGCUGAUCUGCUUUUACUCAAAGUCUCCUCACGUUUAACCUCAAGACAGAGAGCACACGCUAUCACUCAGAUGCGAAAUCUAAAAUGUGGCCCAGAGGAACCUACGUACCGAACAGACACAGACCCACAGACAUGGGGGGCACACUUGCGGUUGCCCAGGGGGAGGGGGAGGGAGCGGGAUGGACGCGGAGUUUGGGGCUCAUACCCGCAACCUAUUGCACUGAGAUGGAUGAGCAAAUGAGGUCCCGCUGUAUCGCCCAGGGAAUUACAGCCAGUUACUGGUGACAGAACACGAUGGAAGAGGACAUGGGAAAAAGAAGGUGUAUCUAUGUCACACUGGGUCACUGUGCUGUGCAGCAGCAGUUGACAGAACUUUGUAAAUCAACCAUACUCGAAUCAAAAAGAUUUUUGGAACCUCAUCUCAUCUAAAGAAUACCUUCCCAGCAACAUCUGGACCGGCGUUUGAUCAAACCUCUGGGUCUCGCGGGCCUGGCCAGGUCGAUGCGUCCAGUUAACCCUCUCGCUCCAUGGCUGGCCUGCAGAGUGACACUCGUCACAGCGUACGUGGGCUCCCAGGGAAACGCAGGAACACGGUCCCAUUUCCAUGACCCAGCCACCCCCCACCACAGCGCUCUAAUGUCCCUCUCAGCACCCCUGAUGCAGGGAGGAAAGCGCUGCUAACUGUUGGGAACAAGACACAUGAAACCAGCCGUGUAAAUUGGGGGCCCCAAACUAAGGCUCCAAUUGCAUUAGGAGUGUAUAUGCUUCUGUCGUUUUCCAUCAAGACGGGAAAAAACAAAACAAAACGGAAAAACUCUGAGCACCAUCCUGUGUCGGGGGAUGGUUACCUCCUCUGGUUGUGCUUUUGGCGCUUGCCGUCAUUUUCAAACUGGCGCCUCAUCCCUUGCUUUCAGGGCCCCCUUGUUUGAAGGCCAUUGGGAGCCACACCCCCAGGUGGCAGAAUUCACGCUGGGCAGAGCAGGUCAGGGCUGCGAGGGGGAGGUGGCCUCGUGGUCUUGCGGCCCUGGUGGAGCCUGGGCAACUUUGCCCCCGUGUGGGCCUGGCCUGUGGUAGGCACACUGCACACAGGCGCUGUCGCCUGGCUGCCUCCCAUAAUGCCUGCUGUCAGGGAAGACAUGCUAGGGGCUUCCUCGAAGCCGUGUUUUCCUUUCUGGAGGCGUGUGUGGCAGUGGGAGUGGGGCCUGUUUAUCCUCAGCAGCUCUGCUGCCCACUGUGCUGCCCACCUGCCAUGCGUGCACCACCCUCAUCGAAGCGCCAAGGCCGCCUGGGGAGGGACGCCUUCUGCUCUCUGGUGCUGGCCCCAGCUCCUGGGAAGGGCAGGAAUUCCCGAUUGCCCCCUUUUAUCUGCUCUUUUUCGUCCAUGAGAACAGAACCCCAAUUUUCAGCUGACCACAGCUCCUAAAAAUCUCCAUUCCCCAGCCUCCUUAGCGGCUGUGUAUGGCCAUGUGACUAAGUUCUGCUUGAUGGAAUAUAAGCCAGAAGUGGCUGCUUCAUAAAGGAUAAUGAGCAUGUCCCUCGUGCCUCUUCACUUCCUCAAUCCUACCACCUGGAAGUUGAAUGUGAUGGCUGGAACUCUAGCCACCAUUUUGGGGCCAUGAGGGCAAAGGCUACACCCUGCAGAGAAUGGAGUGGGAAGCUGAAAGGAGCCUGGGUCCUCUGGGAGCAGAGGUGUCUCUCAGCAUUGCUCCAUCCUACUUCCAGACUUUAACCCGAGAGAGAAAUAACAUCCCCCUGAAGCCACUGUGGUUGGUGCACCUCGUCUUAUGUGACACACGAGGGAAGCUCAGGCAGUUGGCAACUCAUGGCUGGAGAAGAUCCUGGUGCUUUAGUGGAGUGGCAGUGAGGGAUCAGAGAUGCAGGGCCGAGGGCGAGGCAUGGGGGUUGAGUUCAGCCCCUGGGGUGGUGGGAGAAAAGCAGAAACUCCUAGUCUUUGUAUACCCUGUCUUGAGUUGGGUGAGACUGUUGGCCAGGAAAGACAGCUGGUGGAUUCUGAGGACGGGAGUCUUCACCAUGAGGCUGUAAAGUGGCCUGUGCCUUAGAAGUUGCAAACUUUUCUUUCCCAAAUUACCAACGGGUGCAAACCUGAGCUUGCAAUGCACGCAUUUUGUAACUGUUAGUUCUUUUGACCGUGGCAUCAAAUUGCCUUCAGCAGCUUCACCUGGCGCCGCCGCCUCCUCCUCCUCCGUCGGCCAGCGCCCUAGGAGGGCCUGGAUGGGCAGCCUCCUUGGCCCAGCCACCCUGCUCCGCGCUGAGGGCCUGGCUGCAGCUCUGAAGCCCCGCUCCUCAUGGCUGGGAUGGCUCUCUGAGUUUGGGGUUUCCCACGGUACAAUGGGGCACACUGACAGCAAGCUCUGCAAGGUGGCAGAGCUGGAUUCCAUGCUUACCAUACACGCAGGGCAAAGGGAGGCUUAACAGUACACUGGAAAACCUCUCGCAUCACCUACACUGAAUGCCUACAUCAUUAAAUAAACCUACAUUA